Molecule: ribosomal RNA, 112 nt
Filed under: Caerostris darwini
Lineage: Eukaryota; Metazoa; Arthropoda; Arachnida; Araneae; Araneidae
Source: RNAcentral
AACGGCCGUACCAUGCUGAAUAUACCGGUUCUCGUUAGAUCACCGAAGUCAAGCAUCAUUGGGCUCGGUCAGUACUUGGGUGGGUGACCACCUGGGAACACCGCGUGCCGUU